CCUACGGGAGGCAGCAGUAGGGAAUAUUGCACAAUGGGCGAAAGCCUGAUGCAGCAACGCCGCGUGCGCGAUGAAGGCCUUCGGGUUGUAAAGCGCUUUUCUGGGGGACGAGAAAGGACGGUACCCCAGGAAUAAGUCUCGGCUAACUACGUGCCAGCAGCCGCGGU
This 167-nucleotide ribosomal RNA is filed under the name uncultured bacterium. RNAcentral describes it as "partial 16S ribosomal RNA". It matches the Rfam family "Bacterial small subunit ribosomal RNA", at positions 338 to 521 of the family's 1533-position model. The record is from RNAcentral.